Molecule: ribosomal RNA, 1562 nt
Filed under: Lactiplantibacillus plantarum
Lineage: Bacteria; Bacillati; Bacillota; Bacilli; Lactobacillales; Lactobacillaceae
Description: partial 16S ribosomal RNA
Rfam family: Bacterial small subunit ribosomal RNA
Source: RNAcentral
UAGAACUCAUCAUUAAUUUGAGAGUUUGAUCCUGGCUCAGGACGAACGCUGGCGGCGUGCCUAAUACAUGCAAGUCGAACGAACUCUGGUAUUGAUUGGUGCUUGCAUCAUGAUUUACAUUUGAGUGAGUGGCGAACUGGUGAGUAACACGUGGGAAACCUGCCCAGGAGCGGGGGAUAACACCUGGAAACAGAUGCUAAUACCGCAUAACAACUUGGACCGCAUGGUCCGAGCUUGAAAGAUGGCUUCGGCUAUCACUUUUGGAUGGUCCCGCGGCGUAUUAGCUAGAUGGUGGGGUAACGGCUCACCAUGGCAAUGAUACGUAGCCGACCUGAGAGGGUAAUCGGCCACAUUGGGACUGAGACACGGCCCAAACUCCUACGGGAGGCAGCAGUAGGGAAUCUUCCACAAUGGACGAAAGUCUGAUGGAGCAACGCCGCGUGAGUGAAGAAGGGUUUCGGCUCGUAAAACUCUGUUGUUAAAGAAGAACAUAUCUGAGAGUAACUGUUCAGGUAUUGACGGUAUUUAACCAGAAAGCCACGGCUAACUACGUGCCAGCAGCCGCGGUAAUACGUAGGUGGCAAGCGUUGUCCGGAUUUAUUGGGCGUAAAGCGAGCGCAGGCGGUUUUUAAGUCUGAUGUGAAAGCCUUCGGCUCAACCGAAGAAGUGCAUCGGAAACUGGAAAACUUGAGUGCAGAAGAGGACAGUGGAACUCCAUGUGUAGCGGUGAAAUGCGUAGAUAUAUGGAAGAACACCAGUGGCGAAGGCGGCUGUCUGGUCUGUAACUGACGCUGAGGCUCGAAAGUAUGGGUAGCAAACAGGAUUAGAUACCCUGGUAGUCCAUACCGUAAACGAUGAAUGCUAAGUGUUGGAGGGUUUCCGCCCUUCAGUGCUGCAGCUAACGCAUUAAGCAUUCCGCCUGGGGAGUACGGCCGCAAGGCUGAAACUCAAAGGAAUUGACGGGGGCCCGCACAAGCGGUGGAGCAUGUGGUUUAAUUCGAAGCUACGCGAAGAACCUUACCAGGUCUUGACAUACUAUGCAAAUCUAAGAGAUUAGACGUUCCCUUCGGGGACAUGGAUACAGGUGGUGCAUGGUUGUCGUCAGCUCGUGUCGUGAGAUGUUGGGUUAAGUCCCGCAACGAGCGCAACCCUUAUUAUCAGUUGCCAGCAUUAAGUUGGGCACUCUGGUGAGACUGCCGGUGACAAACCGGAGGAAGGUGGGGAUGACGUCAAAUCAUCAUGCCCCUUAUGACCUGGGCUACACACGUGCUACAAUGGAUGGUACAACGAGUUGCGAACUCGCGAGAGUAAGCUAAUCUCUUAAAGCCAUUCUCAGUUCGGAUUGUAGGCUGCAACUCGCCUACAUGAAGUCGGAAUCGCUAGUAAUCGCGGAUCAGCAUCCGCGGUGAAUACGUUCCCGGGCCUUGUACACACCGCCCGUCACACCAUGAGAGUUUGUAACACCCAAAGUCGGUGGGGUAACCUUUUAGGAACCAGCCGCCUAAGGUGGGACAGAUGAUUAGGGUGAAGUCGUAACAAGGUAGCCGUAGGAGAACCUGCGG